This 1489-nucleotide ribosomal RNA is filed under the name Pectobacterium carotovorum. Its description in RNAcentral is "bacterial SSU rRNA". It matches the Rfam family "Bacterial small subunit ribosomal RNA". The record is from RNAcentral. Lineage: Bacteria; Pseudomonadati; Pseudomonadota; Gammaproteobacteria; Enterobacterales; Pectobacteriaceae.
NAAUUGAAGAGUUUGAUCAUGGCUCAGAUUGAACGCUGGCGGCAGGCCUAACACAUGCAAGUCGAGCGGUAGCACAGAGGAGCUUGCUNCUUGGGUGACGAGCGGCGGACGGGUGAGUAAUGUCUGGGNAACUGCCUGAUGGAGGGGGAUAACUACUGGAAACGGUAGCUAAUACCGCAUAACCUCGCAAGAGCAAAGAGGGGGANCUUAGGGCCUCUCGCNAUNNGAUGUGCCCAGAUGGGAUUAGCUAGUAGGUGAGGUAAUGGCUCACCUAGGCGACGAUCCCUAGCUGGUCUGAGAGGAUGACCAGCCACACUGGAACUGAGACACGGUCCAGACUCCUACGGGAGGCAGCAGUGGGGAAUAUUGCACAAUGGGCGCAAGCCUGAUGCAGCCAUGCNGCGUGUGUGAAGAAGGCCUUCGGGUUGUAAAGCACUUUCAGCGAGGAGGAAGGCGGUAAGGUUAAUAACCUUAUCGAUUGACGUUACUCGCAGAAGAAGCACCGGCUAACUCCGUGCCAGCAGCCNCGGUAAUACGGAGGGUGCAAGCGUUAAUCGGAAUGACUGGGCGUAAAGCGCACGCAGGCGGUCUGUUAAGUUGGAUGUGAAAUCCCCGGGCUUAACCUGGGAACUGCAUUCAAAACUGACAGGCUAGAGUCUUGUAGAGGGGNGUAGAAUUCCAGGUGUAGCGGUGAAAUGCGUAGAGAUCUGGAGGAAUACCNGUGGCGAAGGCGGCCCCCUGGACAAAGACUGACGCUCAGGUGCNNAAGCGUGGGGAGCAAACAGGAUUAGAUACCCUGGUAGUCCACGCUGUAAACGAUGUCGAUUUGGAGGUUGUGCCCUUGAGGCGUGGCUUCCGGAGCUAACGCGUUAAAUCGACCGCCUGGGGAGUACGGCCGCAAGGUUAAAACUCAAAUGAAUUGACGGGGGCCCGCACAAGCGGUGGAGCAUGUGGUUUAAUUCGAUGCAACGCGAAGAACCUUACCUACUCUUGACAUCCACAGAAUUUGGUAGAGAUACCUUAGUGCCUUCGGGAACUGUGAGACAGGUGCUGCAUGGCUGUCGUCAGCUCGUGUUGUGAAAUGUUGGGUUAAGUCCCGCAACGAGCGCAACCCUUAUCCUUUGUUGCNAGNNAUUCGGUCGGGAACUCAAAGGAGACUGCCGGUGAUAAACCGGAGGAAGGUGGGGAUGACGUCAAGUCAUCAUGGCCNUUACGAGUAGGGCUACACACGUGCUACAAUGGCGUAUACAAAGAGAAGCGACCUCGCGAGAGCAAGCGGACCUCAUAAAGUACGUCGUAGUCCGGAUUGGAGUCUGCAACUCGACUCCAUGAAGUCGGAAUCGCUAGUAAUCGUAGAUCAGAAUGCUACGGUGAAUACGUUCCCGGGCCUUGUACACACCGCCCGUCACACCAUGGGAGUGGGUUGCAAAAGAAGUAGGUAGCUUAACCUUCGGGAGGGCGCUUACCACUUUGUGAUUCANGACCGGGG